This 253-nucleotide ribosomal RNA is filed under the name uncultured bacterium. Its description in RNAcentral is "partial 16S ribosomal RNA". It matches the Rfam family "Bacterial small subunit ribosomal RNA", at positions 524 to 776 of the family's 1533-position model. The record is from RNAcentral.
UACGUAGGGUGCAAGCGUUGUCCGGAAUUACUGGGCGUAAAGAGCUCGUAGGGGGUUUGUCGCGUUGUUCGUGAAAACUCACAGCUCAACUGUGGGCGUGCGGGCGAUACGGGCAGACUUGAGUACUGCAGGGGAGACUGGAAUUCCUGGUGUAGCGGUGGAAUGCGCAGAUAUCAGGAGGAACACCGGUGGCGAAGGCGGGUCUCUGGGCCGAUACUGACGCUGAGGAGCGAAAGCGUGGGGAGCGAACAGG